UACAGAGGGGGCAAGCGUUGUUCGGAUUCAUUGGGCGUAAAGGGCGCGUAGGCGGCGGGGUAAGUCGGGUGUGAAAUCUCAGAGCUCAACUCUGAAACUGCACUCGAUACUGCUCUGCUUGAGGACUGGAGAGGAGACUGGAAUUCACGGUGUAGCAGUGAAAUGCGUAGAUAUCGUGAGGAAGACCAGUGGCGAAGGCGGGUCUCUGGACAGUUCCUGACGCUGAGGCGCGAAGGCCAGGGGAGCAAACGGG
RNAcentral lists this ribosomal RNA (253 nucleotides) under uncultured bacterium. RNAcentral describes it as "partial 16S ribosomal RNA". It matches the Rfam family "Bacterial small subunit ribosomal RNA", at positions 524 to 776 of the family's 1533-position model. The record is from RNAcentral.